AUGACGGUUUGCCCCUCCCCUUGUCGUUCCUCUCUUGACCUCCUCUCUUUUUUCACCGCCGCUCCUCAAUCUGUGAUGACAAGGUCUCUUUUCAUCCUACAGGCGAGGAGACCCAUCAGAAGUGGUGCAUGCGUGCGGCAUGCCAUUAGAGAAGAAAGGCUCAUGUAUGAAGAACGUUGGCACCAGCCUAUGUGCCACCAUCCGCAUAGAAGACGAGGUAGUGUUACCAGAUGCGUACACAGUUCAUGUGAAGUAACCCCUCAUUGCUUCGAUGCUGAUUCAGUGGAUUACCAGUUCACCACCACCGCCAUUGAAGACAUGGCGGUUGUUUUGUUUGUUCAGAUGCAGGUUCUCUUCUAG
Molecule: ribosomal RNA, 360 nt
Filed under: Triticum aestivum (bread wheat)
Lineage: Eukaryota; Viridiplantae; Streptophyta; Magnoliopsida; Poales; Poaceae
Description: partial small subunit ribosomal RNA
Source: RNAcentral